RNAcentral lists this ribosomal RNA (461 nucleotides) under uncultured bacterium. RNAcentral's name for it is "partial 16S ribosomal RNA". It matches the Rfam family "Bacterial small subunit ribosomal RNA", at positions 338 to 795 of the family's 1533-position model. The record is from RNAcentral.
CCUACGGGUGGCAGCAGUGAGGAAUAUUGGUCAAUGGGCUGGCGCCUGAACCAGCCAAGUCGCGUGAGGGAAGACUGUCCUAUGGAUUGUAAACCUCUUUUGGCGGGGAGCAAUGCCUGGCACGUGUGCCCGGAGUGAGAGUACCCGCAGAAUAAGCAUCGGCUAACUCCGUGCCAGCAGCCGCGGUAAUACGGAGGAUGCGAGCGUUAUCCGGAUUUAUUGGGUUUAAAGGGUGCGUCGGCGGAUUGAUAAGUUAGAGGUGAAAUGUCCGGGCUUAACUCGGGCACUGCCUCUAAUACUGUUGUUCUAGAGAGUAGGUGCGGUAGGCGGAAUGUAUGGUGUAGCGGUGAAAUGCUUAGAGAUCACACAGAACACCGAUUGCGAAGGCAGCUUACCAACGUAUAUCUGACGUUGAGGCACGAAAGCGUGGGGAGCAAACAGGAUUAGAUACCCGGGUAGUC